CACGGGGAGGUAGUGACGAAAAAUAACGAUACGGGACUCAUCCGAGGCCCCGUAAUCGGAAUGAGAACACUCUAAACCCUUUAACGAGGAUCAAUUGGAGGGCAAGUCUGGUGCCAGCCGCCGCGGUAAUUCCAGCUCCAAUAGCGUAUAUUAAAGUUGUUGCGGUUAAAAAGCUCGUAGUCGAAUCUGUGUCCCGCGCCGCCGGUUCAUCGCUCGCGGUGUCAACUGGCGUGUCCGCGGGACGUCCUGCCGGUGAGCUUAGCUUGCGCAAGUGGGCGGCUCAACUUGAAAUCCCAUCGCGGUGCUCUUCAUUGAGUGUCGAGGUGGGCCGGCACGUUUACUUUGAACAAAUUAGAGUGCUUAAAGCAGGCUAAAAUUUCGCCUGAAUACUGUGUGCAUGGAAUAAUGGAAUAGGACCUCGGUUCUAUUUUGUUGGUUUUCGGAACUCCGAGGUAAUGAUUAAUAGGAACGGAUGGGGGCAUUCGUAUUGCGACGUUAGAGGUGAAAUUCUUGGAUCGUCGCAAGACGGACAGAAGCGAAAGCAUUUGCCAAAAACGCUUUCAUUGAUCAAGAACGAAAGUUAGAGGUUCGAAGGCGAUCAGAUACCGCCCUAGUUCUAACCAUAAACGAUGCCAGCUAGCGAUCCGCCGACGUUCCUCCGAUGACUCGGCGGGCAGCUUCCGGGAAACCAAAGCUUUUGGGUUCCGGGGGAAGUAUGGUUGCAAAGCUGAAACUUAAAGGAAUUGACGGAAGGGCACCACCAGGAGUGGAGCCUGCGGCUUAAUUUGACUCAACACGGGGAACCUGACCAGGCCC
This 816-nucleotide ribosomal RNA is filed under the name Habrocerus capillaricornis. Its description in RNAcentral is "SSU rRNA". It matches the Rfam family "Eukaryotic small subunit ribosomal RNA", at positions 455 to 1225 of the family's 1831-position model. The record is from RNAcentral. Lineage: Eukaryota; Metazoa; Arthropoda; Insecta; Coleoptera; Staphylinidae.